GACGAACGCUGGCGGCGUGCUUAACACAUGCAAGUCGAACGGAAAGGCCCUGCUUUUGUGGGGUGCUCGAGUGGCGAACGGGUGAGUAACACGUGAGUAACCUGCCCUUGACUUUGGGAUAACUUCAGGAAACUGGGGCUAAUACCGGAUAGGAGCUCCUGCUGCAUGGUGGGGGUUGGAAAGUUUCGGCGGUUGGGGAUGGACUCGCGGCUUAUCAGCUUGUUGGUGGGGUAGUGGCUUACCAAGGCUUUGACGGGUAGCCGGCCUGAGAGGGUGACCGGCAACAUGGGGACUGGGAUACGGCCCAGACUCCUAGGGGAGGCAGCAGUGGGGAAUAUGGCACAAUGGGCGGAAGCCUGAUGCAGCAACGCCGCGGGCGGGAGGACGGCCUUCGGGUUGUAAACCGCUUUCGCCUGUGACGAAGCGUGAGUGACGGUAAUGGGUAAAGAAGCACCGGCUAACUACGU
Molecule: ribosomal RNA, 467 nt
Filed under: uncultured bacterium
Lineage: Bacteria
Description: partial 16S ribosomal RNA
Rfam family: Bacterial small subunit ribosomal RNA
Source: RNAcentral